AAACCAACAGGGAUUGCCCUAGUAACGGCGAGUGAAGCGGCAAGAGCUCAAAUUUGAAAUCUGGCCCUCUCAGGGUCCGAGUUGUAAUUUGUAGAGGGCGCUUUGGCGUUGGCCCCGGCCUAAGUUCCUUGGAACAGGACGUCACAGAGGGUGAGAACCCCGUACGUGGCCGCCGGCCUCCGCCGUGUAAAGCCCCUUCGACGAGUCGAGUUGUUUGGGAAUGCAGCUCUAAAUGGGAGGUAAAUUUCUUCUAAAGCUAAAUACUGGCCAGAGACCGAUAGCGCACAAGUAGAGUGAUCGAAAGAUGAAAAGCACUUUGGAAAGAGAGUCAAAAAGCACGUGAAAUUGUUGAAAGGGAAGCGCUUGCAGCCAGACUUGCCUGUAGUUGCUCAUCCGAGCUCCCGCUCGGUGCACUCUUCUGCGGGCAGGCCAGCAUCAGUCCGGGCGGUCGGAUAAAGGCCUCGGGAAUGUAGCUCCCCUCGGGGAGUGUUAUAGCCCGGGGCGCCAUGCGACCAGCCUGGACUGAGGUCCGCGCAUCUGCUAAGAUGCUGGCGUAAUGGC
Molecule: ribosomal RNA, 561 nt
Filed under: Lophiostoma sp. OTU1 TS-2013
Lineage: Eukaryota; Fungi; Ascomycota; Dothideomycetes; Pleosporales; Lophiostomataceae
Description: eukaryotic LSU rRNA
Rfam family: Eukaryotic large subunit ribosomal RNA
Source: RNAcentral